AAGAAGGCCUUCGGGUUGUAAACCUCUUUCAGGAGGGACGAAGCCACCAGGGUUAAUAGCCCAUGGGGUGACGGUACCUUCAGAAGAAGCCCCGGCUAACUACGUGC
RNAcentral lists this ribosomal RNA (107 nucleotides) under uncultured bacterium. RNAcentral describes it as "partial 16S ribosomal RNA". It matches the Rfam family "Bacterial small subunit ribosomal RNA", at positions 408 to 508 of the family's 1533-position model. The record is from RNAcentral.